GACGUAGGGCGCGAGCGUUGUCCGGAUUUAUUGGGCGUAAAGAGCUCGUAGGCGGCUUGUCGCGUCGAAUGUGAAAACCCACGGCUCAACUGUGGGCUUGCAUUCGAUACGGGCAGGCUAGAGUUCGGUAGGGGAGACUGGAAUUCCUGGUGUAGCGGUGGAAAUGCGCAGAUAUCAGGAGGAACACCGGUGGCGAAGGCGGGUCUCUGGGCCGAUACUGACGUGAGGAGCGAAAAGCGUGGG
RNAcentral lists this ribosomal RNA (243 nucleotides) under uncultured bacterium. RNAcentral's name for it is "partial 16S ribosomal RNA". It matches the Rfam family "Bacterial small subunit ribosomal RNA", at positions 524 to 765 of the family's 1533-position model. The record is from RNAcentral.